GAAGUAGUACAUAGAAGGCCUAAAUUACAAAAAUACAUAGUUCCAAAAAGACAACCCAGAACAUGGCCCAUUGCCGAGAUAAACACAUACAAGCAAGAGGUCUUCUUCACAGGUACAAGCCUUCGUUGACCAGAUUGAUCUCCCCCAACCGACAGUCCUUUAAUCUGCAACUUUUACGCUACAGGAAUGGAAAAAGAGGAAUGAGCUAUAAAGCCCAGUAAGUAGAUCACAACAUCAGGCUUCCCUUCUUAUGGAUACUAUCUCACAACAAAAAUAAAGAUUCUAAGCCAUGCUCAUAAAACAAGAGUCAUGCAUCACAAUUAUAGGAUGAUACUUUUCAUGGUAGAGCAGGCACAAUAUAAGAUGUCAGAUAUCAUAUACAUUAGCAAUCUAUCAGAUUUCAAUAGAUCCACACAAAUAAGAGAGCAUAACAAAAUCAACAGACACAAUCCACUCUCUAGCCCUAUUUAUCAGGCCACUCCCAUAUCUCGCAAAUCGAUCAUAUAACUUAGGUAAUCAUAUAUCUCAAGUCAAUUUCACAUCUUAAGUCGAUUACAUAUCUCAGGCGACUACCAAUCUUGGGUGAUGCAAUUUGCACAAAGCAUUGACAGGAAGUCACAUUUCACCUUGUGUGCACUUCACUGGUGUCAGUUACUAAGGCAGGCCCUGCAAUAUGCUCAAAGCAGGCACCUUAGAAUCAGAUAUCAGUCACAGAAUCACAAUAUCCAACUACCAAUGGGUGACCCAUUGCAUAGUAGUUAGUAUCAUAGUAUAACAGUCUCAAUACAUAUCACCUCAUGCGCACUUAGAAGUGACAUAUUCCAGUCAAUGCAAUAUACCCAAAGCAUAUCGAGAAAUCCCAUAUCAUCAAAGAUAUCACCAUGUCAAUAGCCGGCCGUACAAUACGCUUAAAGAACGCCAAUAUCUCAGUAUGGUCGUAUAUCAUAGUACAUUUAUAUAUCACAGUAUGGUCAUGCAAUACGCUCAAAGCAUGCCAUUCAAUCACAUAUCACAAUAUUACGAAUCAUAGUAUCACAUAUCUUAGCAUGAUAAUAUCCCACUACUCAGAGCAUAGUGUUUCACAUCACAUCGUAGCAUAUCUCAUCAUAAGCAUUCUCUGACUCGGAGCAUUCAUGGUAUCAUAAGAAGAUAUACAUAGCUCCUGAUUCAUCAGGAGUCUCAACUUAGUCACAAUAUGACAAUUGCCGCAAACACAAGGUGGUAUGAAGUCAAUUGAUAGCCAUUUGAUCAGUCAACAUUUAGGCACAACAUAAAUAUUGGUGUUGGAAUUCCUACAUUCUACUACAGUGACAUGUCCCUCUUAUUAAAGGCAUAACUCUCAAUCUAGAGGGCGUCUCAAAAUGAUUUCAACAUGCAACUUUAAGAAAACACACAUAUAUAUAUAUAAUGACAGUAGUUUGGGAGCAAUCAUGCUCCAUUUGGUCAAUCAAAUCCCAUGACAACAGUGAUCAAAUUUGAACUUUCCUAAAAUCUGCUAACAGUGACAGAUCCUCAAAAUUUGGAACAUAACUUCUAAUCUAGAGGGAAUUUCAAGAUAAUUUAUCAUGUAACUUUAAGAAAACAUACUGAUAUUUCAAAUGGAAGAGGUUUGAGAGUAAUAAGACUCUAUUUAAUCAGUCAAAACCCAUGGCAACUGAGGCAACAAUUCUACAUUUCAGUGAAUCUGCUAACAUAGACAUGCCUUCACAAUUCAGAUCAUAGCUCCCCAAUCAUAUGGAAUUAGAACUAGGUUAAAACACCAAAAUCACAAUAGACUCUUGUAUGGUUGUGAUUUCGUGUCAUUUGGACUUCAAUAGGUUAGGCAAAGUCUCAGUGCAACAGAAGCAAUGUUCCUAAAAAUUAUCACAGUCUACUAAUAGUGACAUACAUGUAUAAAAUGAAACAUAUCCUCUAAACCAUCAAAGAUCUCAACUAGACAUAAACAGAAAACUCAAAGUAGACUCAAAUAUGUUUCCAAUGGUGGUAAUUUGAGGUCAUUCUGAGAUCAUUUGGUAUUCUAACAGAGAGUCAGAAGAACCUCAAUGCUCCCUAUAAUUUCACAGUCCAGCCAUAACAUACUUCAAAGAUCAAAGUAUAAUUCUAAACUACACAAGAUAACCACAUGAACCAAUUCUAGCUUAAAUUAGACUCACAAGAGCAUUAACCCACAAAUUUUCAAGCUCAAUAGAAAUUACAACAGUGUAUAGCAUAUCUUACAAACAAGACCCACGAUUUGAAAAACAGAACACAAAACAUGCAUACAAUCCUACUCAUUCACACAAUGUCUAUACAUGCCCAAAACCUGACUCAUGCUUAAUUCAAUACUUCAUUCAUGCUUAAAUCAUUCUUUCACAUAAUAGUAUGAUCCACUUACCUUAACAACAAAGGUGCCUUCUCCAAACCUUCUUUCACAGCCUUCUCUUGCUCCAACAAUGGCUGCCUCCCAUAGAAGUUCUCCAAACUUUUGCCUUAGAGAGAGAGAAGAGAUGAGAG
Molecule: long non-coding RNA, 2493 nt
Filed under: Amborella trichopoda
Lineage: Eukaryota; Viridiplantae; Streptophyta; Magnoliopsida; Amborellales; Amborellaceae
Description: long non-coding RNA (ATRI_LNC001323)
Source: RNAcentral